RNAcentral lists this transfer RNA (71 nucleotides) under Loxodonta africana (African savanna elephant). It matches the Rfam family "tRNA". Rfam says of the family: Transfer RNA (tRNA) molecules are approximately 80 nucleotides in length. Lineage: Eukaryota; Metazoa; Chordata; Mammalia; Proboscidea; Elephantidae. The record is from Rfam by way of RNAcentral.
GCGCUGGUGGUUCAGAGGCAGAAUGCUCGCCUUCGGUGCAGGAGGUCAGGGUUUGAUUCUUGGCCAGGGCA